UGUCGGACAAGAGGCAGGAUCGUUGGAUUGGACCAACUCAGAGUCACAGUGUGUCUUACCAUCGGGGAAAAACUGCAGUCAAGACCAACGACAAGGAGCAGAGACACUCCUACCCUGCUCUGGAACGGCUUACGGUCGGUGACAGCAGAGAACCUUCAUCCAACAGAAACAGUGACUACAACUACUGAUCUUUUUCACCAUCUUCAUCAUCACCCAGCCUGUGCCGUUUUCAACGGCCCACACAGGAGAAUGAAACACUCCCUCUCAAGUGAAAACAUGACUGUCGGCAGAGAAAUAAGAGGGAAAUAAGCCAAAAAGCAGACUAUAGCAACUUCACCAAAAAAAAAAAAUCUAGAAAAGAUUGAAUGGACGUUGUGACAUUUUUUAAGAAAUGGGUUUAACUUUUCUUCACCGUUAAAUGCAUUUUGUAAAGCUCAAUUCUAAUUUUAGUUAAGAAUGCAUCCAUUUCCAUAACAAAAUUAGUGACUUUUACGCGACAGAAUACUAGAGCGAUGGCUGCCUUUAAAAGCUCAAGUGUCAUUGAAAGACAUUUGUGUUUGAAAUUCUCUUUGACAUAACUGAAACGUCGUGGCAUCACAAAGAAAAAAAAUGUAUUUUAACAAAUACAAAAGUAGGCUAAAGAAUAGGCUAAAGUGCACAAACAGCUACAGUAUGUACUGUUUGUGAAAAGAUAUAUAUAUAUAUAUAUAUACGUAUAUCCUUAACCACAGAAGACAUUGAAAACUUACAUUUCCUUUCAUCGGUUAAGUAUAUAUACAUAUUGUGUUUUUUCAAUUAAAUAAAGUGAUAUCUGUUAAAUGCAACAUGAUUUGUUGUUUAUGAAACAGGUGAGUGGAACAUUUUGGAGAAGACUGAAAGAGAGAAGGAUGAGAGGGAGACGAAGGUGGUUAGUCAGUGCAGAGAUGUGGUUUCCUCUGCCGUUGACACCAACAUCCUGUUUGUGUUAUUUCUGUCCUGACCUGUAUAUCUUUCCCCCCUUUUUCACUCCCUUGUAGGUCUCUCGAGAAGUUUAUAGAUCAUCUUUUUUUUUUUUUUUAUUGUCUCACUGUCUUCCUAGUUAUGUCUAAAAUCUGGCAACGGGACAAACCGUGGCUCUUGAACAGGUUUAAGUGACCUUUAAGGUCAUGUUGGUCCCCACCCCAUAUUUUUAAGUAACCCAAAUAAACAUGUGAGAAUCUUUGGCUAUCAUUGCCCAAACCAAACGUAAAAACAGGGUGCCAAAAAGCAGACCAGGCAUGCUACCAACCCAUGAAUAACAAUAUUUAUUUCGAUUUUAAGUGCAUGUGAAAAGAAACAAACCAACACCCAGUUAUGGUUACAAAAAAUAAAAAAAAUAAAAAAUAAAAUACCCGAGUUAACCAGAGUUCACAGAUGCGGAGAAAUCACUUCGUAGAAAUAAGAAAUCCAUAAUUUGUAGCCUUAAUAAUAAAUAAAUAAAUAAAUUAAUUAAUUACAAAAAUAACCUCACCUUUAGUGUAGCAAGCAGCAGCUCAUCAGUAAAAUAAUAAUAACAAUCGCAAAUAACAAAUGCAGUUAAUCGAUGGUCAAUUAGCGGUGGCAGUAGAAAAAAUAAAAAAAAAAAAGGCGGCGGACAUAACGAUUGCUUCGUUUAGACAAUUGUAGUUUUUAAAAGUAGU
This is a long non-coding RNA of Cynoglossus semilaevis (tongue sole), 1658 nucleotides long. RefSeq lists it as uncharacterized. The record is from RefSeq and is a predicted model, not a curated record. The transcript is spliced from 3 exons. NCBI's taxonomy places the organism in Eukaryota, Metazoa, Chordata, Actinopteri, Pleuronectiformes, Cynoglossidae.